This 301-nucleotide ribosomal RNA is filed under the name uncultured bacterium. RNAcentral's name for it is "partial 16S ribosomal RNA". It matches the Rfam family "Bacterial small subunit ribosomal RNA", at positions 509 to 807 of the family's 1533-position model. The record is from RNAcentral.
CAGCCGCCGCGGUAAAACGGAGGGUGCAAGCGUUAAUCGGAAUUACUGGGCGUAAAGCGUGCGUAGGCGGUUCGUUAAGUCUGUUGUGAAAGCCCCGGGCUCAACCUGGGAAUGGCAAUGGAUACUGGCGAGCUAGAGUGUGUCAGAGGAUGGUGGAAUUCCCGGUGUAGCGGUGAAAUGCGUAGAGGUCGGGAGGAACAUCAGUGGCGAAGGCGGCCAUCUGGGACAACACUGACGCUGAGGCACGAAAGCGUGGGGAGCAAACAGGAUUAGAUACCCCCGUAGUCCCUGUCUCUUAUAC